Molecule: non-coding RNA, 252 nt
Organism: Prunus mume (Japanese apricot)
Lineage: Eukaryota; Viridiplantae; Streptophyta; Magnoliopsida; Rosales; Rosaceae
Source: RefSeq, a predicted model, not a curated record
GCAAAAGCAAAGAAGGGAGGAGAAGCCUCUAUAGGAGCUGUUUCGGGUUGCAUUAUCCUAAUAUUGUUUCUACUGUGUGAGAGGACAAACAUAAUACAACCAAUCCUGGGCAAGGAGAAAGAAACUCCUGCCAUUCUUAAAUGGAGUCUUGUGGAACUCCACACAAGAUUCAACCAAAUAAAGGACUUGAAUGACAUCGAGGGUAUUUUCAAAACUCUUAAAAAGCGAAAAACUACCAGGGAAGAGGAAGAC